RNAcentral lists this ribosomal RNA (617 nucleotides) under uncultured bacterium. RNAcentral describes it as "bacterial SSU rRNA". It matches the Rfam family "Bacterial small subunit ribosomal RNA", at positions 233 to 863 of the family's 1533-position model. The record is from RNAcentral.
GCGUCCCAUUAGAUAGAUGGCGGGGUAACGGCCCACCAUGUCAACGAUGGGUAGCCGAGCUGAGAGGCUGAUCGGCCACACUGGAACUGAGACACGGUCCAGACUCCUACGGGAGGCAGCAGUGGGGAAUAUUGGGCAAUGGGCGCAAGCCUGACCCAGCAACGCCGCGUGAGGGAAGAAGGCUUUCGGGUUGUAAACCUCUGUCCUUGGUGACGAAAAAAAUGACGGUAGCCAAGGAGGAAGCCCCGGCUAACUACGUGCCAGCAGCCGCGGUAAUACGUAGGGGGCGAGCGUUGUCCGGAAUUACUGGGCGUAAAGGGUGCGUAGGUGGCCUUUUAAGUUGGAUGUGAAAUACCCGGGCUUAACUUGGGGGGUGCAUCCAAAACUGGGAGGCUAGAGUGCAGGAGAGGAAAGCGGAAUUCCUAGUGUAGCGGUGAAAUGCGUAGAUAUUAGGAGGAACACCAGUGGCGAAGGCGGCUUUCUGGACUGUAACUGACACUGAGGCACGAAAGCGUGGGGAGCAAACAGGAUUAGAUACCCUGGUAGUCCACGCGGUAAACGAUGAAUACUAGGUGUAGGGGGUAUCAACUCCCCCUGUGCCGGAGCUAACGCAAUAA